ACCAGACUCCUACGGGAGGCAGCAGUGGGGGAUAUUGCACAAUGGGGGAAACCCUGGUGCAGCGACGCCGCGUGGGCGAAGAAGUAUUUCGGUAUGUAAAGCCCUAUCAGCAGGGAAGAAGAAAUGACGGUACCUGAGUAAGAAGCACCGGCUAAAUACGUGCCAGCAGCCGCGGUAAUACGUAUGGUGCAAGCGUUAUCCGGAUUUACUGGGUGUAAAGGGAGCGUAGACGGCAGUGCAAGUCUGGAGUGAAAGGCGGGGGCUCAACCCCCGGACUGCUCUGGAAACUGUACGGCUGGAGUGCAGGAGAGGUAAGUGGAAUUCCUAGUGUAGCGGUGAAAUGCGUAGAUAUUAGGAGGAACACCAGUGGCGAAGGCGGCUUACUGGACUGUAACUGACGUUGAGGCUCGAAAGCGUGGGGAGCAAACAGGAUUAGAUACCCCAGUA
RNAcentral lists this ribosomal RNA (447 nucleotides) under uncultured bacterium. RNAcentral's name for it is "bacterial SSU rRNA". It matches the Rfam family "Bacterial small subunit ribosomal RNA", at positions 330 to 792 of the family's 1533-position model. The record is from RNAcentral.